Beta vulgaris subsp. vulgaris (sugar beet) is the source of this 2030-nucleotide long non-coding RNA. RefSeq lists it as uncharacterized. The transcript has 3 exons. The record is from RefSeq and is a predicted model, not a curated record. Lineage: Eukaryota; Viridiplantae; Streptophyta; Magnoliopsida; Caryophyllales; Amaranthaceae.
AUGACUAUAUUUAAAAUUGAAAGAUUAUAAAUUGUAAAUGUAUAUUUCAUGAUAUAAUCUUUUCAUUAGGGCUGUCAAAAUUAAAGCUGAUCCAAUAUGAUAACCUAUCUCGAAUCUAACCUGAAAAUUUCGAAUUUGGGUUAAAAUUUUCAACCUAAAAAAAAGAUGGGUCAGCCCAACCCGACCAGAAAAAAUAAUGGGUUAGGUUCAGGUUGAAUUUUUGAACCUCAAAACAAUCCGAAUAGUCUGACUUUGAAAUGGGGUCAAAUUCAAGGCAGGCCAACCUAUGUUUAUCUAACUUGUAUUAGACCAAACUCGUUUCUUGAAUAUUCUAAAUUUGAUUAAGUUGGCAUUUGAAUUCAAGACUCACUCAAUAUGUUGAAUUAUUGCAGUGAUUAAAUUUAAAAUCAUGUCAUUUUGGGUUGGUUUCGGGUCAACCUGAAAUCGAAAAGGUCGGGUUCAAAUUCUAAUUUUCGACCUGAAAUCAGAAUCAAGUCAAGUUUGGAUUAGGGGUAAGUAACCCGAAAUAGAAAUCAGGUGAACUUGAAAUAAAUCCAACUCGAACUUAUUGCUACCCUACAUUAUUAAUAUAGACAAAUGACACGUAAAGAUAAUUAUUGUAUACUACAAUAAUAUCUAAUAAUAAUGUAUUCUACUGGAGUAAUAAUUAAGCAAUAUAAAAAGUUGUGAAAAUUAUCAAUCCCGCAAUUCCAAAAUAAAUUGUCUACAUUAUAAAUCAAAAUCUACGACUACGGGUAAGUUACAUAAAUGGUAAUGUAAAAUGGUAAGUUAUAUCAAUAUUAACAUUGUUUAUUAUUAGUUAGCAACUGUGCCGAAAUUAUACACGAAAUAAUAUGAUUGUAAAGUACUUCCAUUUGCUGAGUGAAACUUACCAAAUUUAUAAGAUUGUAAUUGAUCCAUUUUACACGUGGCACUAAAAAAAUGAGAAUAAGUAUAGUGAUGACAUGUGGCGAAAUGAGUAAUAGCUUGACACAUAGGCAAAUUUUUCUAGCUUUAUAUAUAUAUAUAGAUUCAGAAAAUAACAAUUCAGUAAAAAGUUAAUUCACCCUCCGAAAAAAAUCUUCAUCAAUCACUGAACCAAUUCAGAAACCUACCCAAAAUCAGGCCCAGAACUCACUGAGUCAACUCGAUCACUCACAAGCGAGUUCUCCUUACUCAACCUCGCAUACAUCCUCGCCCUCAAAUCCUUCCCCGACUCGACUCGCUCCAGUGGCAUCUCUUCCUCUAUCAUCACCUCCCACGGAUCAAACAAACCAAGCACAGAACAACGAGUGGGUGACCUAACCACCGCCCCACCACGAGUUGGUAUCGUCGGCAAACUCUUCGUUGAUGUCGUUAGAUCUGAAGUUGCUGCUCCACCAGUUCAUAUGACAGGAGUACCCCCUUCUGAUAUGAAGAAGAAGAGAGGUAGGCCCUAGGAAGUAUGGCCCUGGUGGUGCUGUGACGGCUGCAUUGUCGCCAAUGCCGAUUUCGGCUUCAAUUCCUCUGAGUAAAGACUUUUCAGGCUGGAAACAACAUAGAGCAAUGCCGUUUUAGACAAUAAAGAAGCCAUAUUAAGUGGAGUUUGAGAGUCUAGGUUUGAGUGCAGCAAGCCUAUGCAGCUCGGAGUGAGCUUUGCUGGUGGAUAUAUGGUGGUGUUUUCUAUGCUGUUAUUUCACAUUCUACUGACAAUGCCUUAUUUCUUUACUCAAUAAUGCCAAGGGAGCUACAGUGGGUGAUGUAAGUGUUAACAAUAAGUAGAAUCACUGAUAUUUCCUCACUGGAUGGUGGGAAAUAAUAUUUUUUUUGGCUUUAUUAUUCAUUAAUUUCUUUAACUUCUAAUAGGUAUGGGUAAUUCUAUUAUGAAGGAUGGUUUUGUAUUCAUCCUAUUGAGAACUCUUUAAAAAAAUACUCAAGUUACAUGAUUAGGAACUAGAUUUGAUACAUGAUAUUGCGGAUUAUACUUUGAUUAGUUCUUACUAGUGUUGUUGUUGUUUAAUAUAAAAGAUAACGUUUUCUUUAUUAAUGUA